This 600-nucleotide ribosomal RNA is filed under the name uncultured fungus. Its description in RNAcentral is "eukaryotic LSU rRNA". The stretch from base 221 to 374 matches the Rfam family "5.8S ribosomal RNA". Lineage: Eukaryota; Fungi. The record is from RNAcentral.
UUCUUGGUCAUUUAGAGGAAGUAAAAGUCGUAACAAGGUUUCCGUAGGUGAACCUGCGGAAGGAUCAUUAUCGUAGGGGCCUCGCCCCCUUCGAGAUAGCACCCUUUGUUUAUUAGCACCUCUCGUUUCCUCGGCAGGCUCGCCUGCCAACGGGGACCCACCACAAACCCAUUGCAGUACAAGAAGUACACGUCUGAACAAAACAAAACAAACUAUUUACAACUUUCAACAACGGAUCUCUUGGUUCUGGCAUCGAUGAAGAACGCAGCGAAAUGCGAUAAGUAGUGUGAAUUGCAGAAUUCAGUGAAUCAUCGAAUCUUUGAACGCACAUUGCGCCCUUUGGUAUUCCUUAGGGCAUGCCUGUUCGAGCGUCAUUUCAACCCUCAAGCCUAGCUUGGUGUUGGGCGUCUGUCCCGCCUCCGCGCGCCUGGACUCGCCUCAAAAGCAUUGGCGGCCGGUUCCCAGCAGGCCACGAGCGCAGCAGAGCAAGCGCUGAAGUGGCUGCGGGUCGGCGCACCAUGAGCCCCCCCACACCAGAAUUUUGACCUCGGAUCAGGUAGGGAUACCCGCUGAACUUAAGCAUAUCAAUAAGCGGAGGAA